AGAGUUUGAUCAUGGCUCAGGACGAACGCUGGCGGCGUGCUUAACACAUGCAAGUCGAACGGAAAGGCCCUUUCGGGGUACUCGAGUGGCGAACGGGUGAGUAACACGUGGGUGAUCUGCCCUGCACUCUGGGAUAAGCCUGGGAAACUGGGUCUAAUACCGGAUAGGACCACACACUUCAUGGUGAGUGGUGCAAAGCUUUGCGGUGUGGGAUGAGCCCGCGGCCUAUCAGCUUGUUGGUGGGGUAAUGGCCCACCAAGGCGACGACGGGUAGCCGGCCUGAGAGGGUGACCGGCCACACUGGGACUGAGAUACGGCCCAGACUCCUACGGGAGGCAGCAGUGGGGAAUAUUGCACAAUGGGCGCAAGCCUGAUGCAGCGACGCCGCGUGAGGGAUGACGGCCUUCGGGUUGUAAACCUCUUUCAGUAGGGACGAAGCGAAAGUGACGGUACCUACAGAAGAAGGACCGGCCAACUACGUGCCAGCAGCCGCGGUAAUACGUAGGGUCCGAGCGUUGUCCGGAAUUACUGGGCGUAAAGAGCUCGUAGGUGGUUUGUCGCGCUGUUCGUGAAAACUCACAGCUUAACUGUGGGCGUGCGGGCGAUACGGGCAGACUAGAGUACUGCAGGGGAGACUGGAAUUCCUGGUGUAGCGGUGGAAUGCGCAGAUAUCAGGAGGAACACCGGUGGCGAAGGCGGGUCUCUGGGCAGUAACUGACGCUGAGGAGCGAAAGCGUGGGUAGCGAACAGGAUUAGAUACCCUGGUAGUCCACGCCGUAAACGGUGGGUACUAGGUGUGGGUUUCCUUCCUUGGGAUCCGCGCCGUAGCUAACGCAUUAAGUACCCCGCCUGGGGAGUACGGUCGCAAGACUAAAACUCAAAGGAAUUGACGG
Molecule: ribosomal RNA, 893 nt
Filed under: uncultured bacterium
Lineage: Bacteria
Description: bacterial SSU rRNA
Rfam family: Bacterial small subunit ribosomal RNA
Source: RNAcentral